AAAGAAGAACACGUAUGAGAGUAACUGUUCAUACGUUGACGGUAUUUAACCAGAAAGUCACGGCUAACUACGUGCCAGCAGCCGCGGUAAUACGUAGGUGGCAAGCGUUAUCCGGAUUUAUUGGGCGUAAGAGAGUGCAGGCGGUUUUCUAAGUCUGAUGUGAAAGACCUUCGGCUUAACCGGAGAAGUGCAUCGGAAACUAGGAUAACUUGAGUGCAGAAGAGGGUAGUGGAACGUCCAUGUGUAGCGGUGGAAUGCGUAGAUAUAUGGAAGGAACACCAGUGGCGAAGGCGGCUACCUGGUCUGCAACUGACGCUGAGACUCGAAAGCAUGGGUAGCGAACAGGAUUAGAUACCCUGGUAG
Molecule: ribosomal RNA, 363 nt
Filed under: uncultured bacterium
Lineage: Bacteria
Description: bacterial SSU rRNA
Rfam family: Bacterial small subunit ribosomal RNA
Source: RNAcentral